Molecule: ribosomal RNA, 465 nt
Filed under: Vreelandella stevensii
Lineage: Bacteria; Pseudomonadati; Pseudomonadota; Gammaproteobacteria; Oceanospirillales; Halomonadaceae
Description: partial 16S ribosomal RNA
Rfam family: Bacterial small subunit ribosomal RNA
Source: RNAcentral
CCUACGGGGGGCUGCAGUGGGGAAUAUUGGACAAUGGGGGCAACCCUGAUCCAGCCAUGCCGCGUGUGUGAAGAAGGCCCUCGGGUUGUAAAGCACUUUCAGUGAGGAAGAACGCCUGGUGGUUAAUACCCAUCAGGAAAGACAUCACUCACAGAAGAAGCACCGGCUAACUCCGUGCCAGCAGCCGCGGUAAUACGGAGGGUGCGAGCGUUAAUCGGAAUUACUGGGCGUAAAGCGCGCGUAGGUGGCUUGAUAAGCCGGUUGUGAAAGCCCCGGGCUCAACCUGGGAACGGCAUCCGGAACUGUCAAGCUAGAGCGCAGGAGAGGAAGGUAGAAUUCCCGGUGUAGCGGUGAAAUGCGUAGAGAUCGGGAGGAAUACCAGUGGCGAAGGCGGCCUUCUGGACUGACACUGACACUGAGGUGCGAAAGCGUGGGUAGCAAACAGGAUUAGAUACCCUAGUAGUC